Molecule: ribosomal RNA, 1511 nt
Filed under: Klebsiella pneumoniae
Lineage: Bacteria; Pseudomonadati; Pseudomonadota; Gammaproteobacteria; Enterobacterales; Enterobacteriaceae
Description: bacterial SSU rRNA
Rfam family: Bacterial small subunit ribosomal RNA
Source: RNAcentral
AGAGUUUGAUCAUGGCUCAGAUUGAACGCUGGCGGCAGGCCUAACACAUGCAAGUCGAGCGGUAGCACAGAGAGCUUGCUCUCGGGUGACGAGCGGCGGACGGGUGAGUAAUGUCUGGGAAACUGCCUGAUGGAGGGGGAUAACUACUGGAAACGGUAGCUAAUACCGCAUAAUGUCGCAAGACCAAAGUGGGGGACCUUCGGGCCUCAUGCCAUCAGAUGUGCCCAGAUGGGAUUAGCUAGUAGGUGGGGUAACGGCUCACCUAGGCGACGAUCCCUAGCUGGUCUGAGAGGAUGACCAGCCACACUGGAACUGAGACACGGUCCAGACUCCUACGGGAGGCAGCAGUGGGGAAUAUUGCACAAUGGGCGCAAGCCUGAUGCAGCCAUGCCGCGUGUGUGAAGAAGGCCUUCGGGUUGUAAAGCACUUUCAGCGGGGAGGAAGGCGNNCGAUUGACGUUACCCGCAGAAGAAGCACCGGCUAACUCCGUGCCAGCAGCCGCGGUAAUACGGAGGGUGCAAGCGUUAAUCGGAAUUACUGGGCGUAAAGCGCACGCAGGCGGUCUGUCAAGUCGGAUGUGAAAUCCCCGGGCUCAACCUGGGAACUGCAUUCGAAACUGGCAGGCUAGAGUCUUGUAGAGGGGGGUAGAAUUCCAGGUGUAGCGGUGAAAUGCGUAGAGAUCUGGAGGAAUACCGGUGGCGAAGGCGGCCCCCUGGACAAAGACUGACGCUCAGGUGCGAAAGCGUGGGGAGCAAACAGGAUUAGAUACCCUGGUAGUCCACGCCGUAAACGAUGUCGAUUUGGAGGUUGUGCCCUUGAGGCGUGGCUUCCGGAGCUAACGCGUUAAAUCGACCGCCUGGGGAGUACGGCCGCAAGGUUAAAACUCAAAUGAAUUGACGGGGGCCCGCACAAGCGGUGGAGCAUGUGGUUUAAUUCGAUGCAACGCGAAGAACCUUACCUGGUCUUGACAUCCACAGAACUUUCCAGAGAUGGAUUGGUGCCUUCGGGAACUGUGAGACAGGUGCUGCAUGGCUGUCGUCAGCUCGUGUUGUGAAAUGUUGGGUUAAGUCCCGCAACGAGCGCAACCCUUAUCCUUUGUUGCCAGCGGUUAGGCCGGGAACUCAAAGGAGACUGCCAGUGAUAAACUGGAGGAAGGUGGGGAUGACGUCAAGUCAUCAUGGCCCUUACGACCAGGGCUACACACGUGCUACAAUGGCAUAUACAAAGAGAAGCGACCUCGCGAGAGCAAGCGGACCUCAUAAAGUAUGUCGUAGUCCGGAUUGGAGUCUGCAACUCGACUCCAUGAAGUCGGAAUCGCUAGUAAUCGUAGAUCAGAAUGCUACGGUGAAUACGUUCCCGGGCCUUGUACACACCGCCCGUCACACCAUGGGAGUGGGUUGCAAAAGAAGUAGGUAGCUUAACCUUCGGGAGGGCGCUUACCACUUUGUGAUUCAUGACUGGGGUGAAGUCGUAACAAGGUAACCGUAGGGGAACCUGCGGUUGGAUCACCU